Molecule: long non-coding RNA, 548 nt
Organism: Dalotia coriaria
Lineage: Eukaryota; Metazoa; Arthropoda; Insecta; Coleoptera; Staphylinidae
Exons: 2
Source: RefSeq, a predicted model, not a curated record
UUAUUUUAAAAUUGUUAAUGGGCUGAUUGCGGUAACAUUUUCCCGCAUUUUAAAUAAAUUAUAGCAAAAGUGCAUUAGUUUAAAAGCCAGCAAAUUAUCAAUUAGUUUACUAACUAAACUCGUACUUUCAAGAUACACUCUGCACCUCCAAAGUUUGUAAUGAAUUUCAAAAUUAUCUUUUUUACUCUUGCAGUAUUAGCUGCAUGUUCUGAAAUUGUGUCUGCUGCUAGAAAAUUUACUGGAUAUUAUGUAAUUGGAACAAAAGACAAUUGUCCGGAAAAUUCGAAAUGGAAUGAUAAGGUAUUUCCAUGUCAACCAGGGUGUGUCGGAUUUUAUAUUUCGUGUGGACCUGAUCCUGAAUAUCGUAGUGCGUGUCAAUGCAAAGAGGGCUUAUUCAUCUCCCUGAAUAGAACAUCAUGUGUACCAAUUGAUGAAUGCCAAUAACGCCCGGAGUAAGUUAACCCUUACACAGACUAAGACAACAUAUUGGGUGAAGUGAUUAUAAUCAAUUUUCAAUCAGUAGAAUAAACUAUACAAUACUUAAAUAA